RNAcentral lists this long non-coding RNA (520 nucleotides) under Taeniopygia guttata (zebra finch). Its description in RNAcentral is "lncRNA (ENSTGUG00000019758.1)". The record is from RNAcentral. Lineage: Eukaryota; Metazoa; Chordata; Aves; Passeriformes; Estrildidae.
CUUCACAGUCCUUUUGCCAAUUUGAGAGGAAUAAUGCUAUACCCAGUGGUAUCAAAGGCUGUGCUGAGAUCCAACCAACAGCAAAUACUCAUUUCCUAGUUUUCGUUGCAUAUUUAGUUAUCUUUACAACAUAACCACAGGAAUUAUUCCCUGGUCUCUCUAAGGACUACUCCACAUUAAAACUAUAAAUGAUGCUGUAAGUCAGGUAUUGUAGAAAAUGUCUGAAAGAAUAUGAACAGAAAGAAAUUGUAAACAGCCCCUUUCUUGUGUACUUUGUCUACAGAUGCUGACAGACACAAAAUCAUUCAAGUGGCUUUGCUGCAAGAAGGCUCCUGGAUUCAGAAUACCCACUCCACUCCUGGUAAAGAAAAGAUGUCCAUGGGUCCCCACUGCUCAUCCUUGGUACACACCGGAACCAUCCUCGGGGCAGAUCUUCAUCGGGUGUCAGAGAAAUGGCAAAGCCGUUUCAUUCAGGGUCCCUGGUGUCCAAGUGGGUUCAUCCAUGUCCACGAGAGCUUGA